UGCAGAAUUCAGUGAAUCAUCGAAUCUUUGAACGCACCUUGCGCUCCUUGGUAUUCCGAGGAGCAUGUCUGUUUGAGUGUCAUGAACUCUUCAACCCUCCAUUUCCUCGUUUGAAAUGUUUUGAGGUGAUUGGAUUUUGAGUACUUGCUCUUUUAUCAAAAUUAGCUUACUCGUAAUACAUUAGCACAAUUCAACUUCGAACUCGGAUUGACUCGGCGUAAUAGACUAUUCGCUGAGGACAUUGAGAAUUAAUUUUCUCUGAUGGCCGACUUUAGACGAUUUGAAUAGCUUCAAAUACUAUAAACCUUUUUUAAGAUUAGACCUCAAAUCAGGCAGGAUUACCCGCUGAACUUAA
Molecule: small RNA, 355 nt
Filed under: uncultured fungus
Lineage: Eukaryota; Fungi
Description: eukaryotic LSU rRNA
Rfam family: 5.8S ribosomal RNA (bases 1-82)
Source: RNAcentral